CCUACGGGGGGCAGCAGUGGGGAAUAUUGGACAAUGGGGGGAACCCUGAUCCAGCCAUGCCGCGUGUGUGAAGAAGGCCCUCGGGUUGUAAAGCACUUUCAGUGAGGAAGAACGCCUGGUGGUUAAUACCCAUCAGGAAAGACAUCACUCACAGAAGAAGCACCGGCUAACUCCGUGCCAGCAGCCGCGGUAAUACGGAGGGUGCGAGCGUUAAUCGGAAUUACUGGGCGUAAAGCGCGCGUAGGUGGCUUGAUAAGCCGGUUGUGAAAGCCCCGGGCUCAACCUGGGAACGGCAUCCGGAACUGUCAAGCUAGAGUGCAGGAGAGGAAGGUAGAAUUCCCGGUGUAGCGGUGAAAUGCGUAGAGAUCGGGAGGAAUACCAGUGGCGAAGGCGGCCUUCUGGACUGACACUGACACUGAGGUACGAAAGCGUGGGUAGCAAACAGGAUUAGAUACCCUGGUAGUC
This 465-nucleotide ribosomal RNA is filed under the name Vreelandella stevensii. Its description in RNAcentral is "partial 16S ribosomal RNA". It matches the Rfam family "Bacterial small subunit ribosomal RNA", at positions 338 to 795 of the family's 1533-position model. Lineage: Bacteria; Pseudomonadati; Pseudomonadota; Gammaproteobacteria; Oceanospirillales; Halomonadaceae. The record is from RNAcentral.